AACCUGAGCUCAAGCGUGACUACCCGCUGAACUUAAGCAUAUCACUUAGCGGAGGAAAGAAACUAA
This 66-nucleotide ribosomal RNA is filed under the name Hovorkonema variegatum. Its description in RNAcentral is "partial 28S ribosomal RNA". Lineage: Eukaryota; Metazoa; Nematoda; Chromadorea; Rhabditida; Syngamidae. The record is from RNAcentral.